Molecule: ribosomal RNA, 550 nt
Filed under: uncultured bacterium
Lineage: Bacteria
Description: bacterial SSU rRNA
Rfam family: Bacterial small subunit ribosomal RNA
Source: RNAcentral
UCGGGAAUUUUGCACAAUGGCCGAAAGGCUGAUGCAGCAACGCCGCGUGGAGGAGGAAGGCCUUCGGGUUGUAAACUCCUGUUGCCGGGGAAGAAAUGGAUAGGGAGGAAAUGCCCUGUCCUUGACGGUACCCGGUGAGGAAGCCACGGCUAACUACGUGCCAGCAGCCGCGGUAAUACGUAGGUGGCGAGCGUUGUCCGGAUUUAUUGGGCGUAAAGGGCGUGUAGGCGGUUUGGUAAGUCGGGGGUGAAAACCCGGGGCUCAACCUCGGGACUGCCUCCGAAACUGCUGAACUUGAGUGCUCUAGAGGGCAGUGGAAUUCCGGGUGUAGCAGUGAAAUGCGUAGAUAUCCGGAGGAAUACCAGUGGCGAAGGCGACUGCCUGGGGAGUAACUGACGCUGAGGCGCGAAAGCUGGGGGAGCGAACAGGAUUAGAUACCCUGGUAGUCCCAGCCGUAAACGAUGAGCGCUAUGUGUGGAGGGUAUCGACCCCCUCCGUGCAGCAGCUAACGCAUUAAGCGCUCCGCCUGGGGAGUACGGCCGCAAGGUUG